Molecule: transfer RNA, 76 nt
Filed under: Chloroflexota bacterium
Lineage: Bacteria; Bacillati; Chloroflexota
Description: Chloroflexi bacterium (hydrothermal vent metagenome) tRNA-Lys
Rfam family: tRNA
About the family: Transfer RNA (tRNA) molecules are approximately 80 nucleotides in length. Their secondary structure includes four short double-helical elements and three loops (D, anti-codon, and T loops).
Source: RNAcentral
GGGGCGCUAGCUCAACUGGUAGAGCAGCGGACUCUUAAUCCGCGGGUUGGGGGUUCGAGUCCUCCGCGCCUCACCA